RNAcentral lists this long non-coding RNA (2023 nucleotides) under Gossypium barbadense (sea-island cotton). RNAcentral describes it as "long non-coding RNA (GBAR_LNC009754)". The record is from RNAcentral. Lineage: Eukaryota; Viridiplantae; Streptophyta; Magnoliopsida; Malvales; Malvaceae.
UUGGAAGCUGAAUCGACGAUCAAAAGUUAAGUACCUAACCUUUGCACGGAAAGCAAAACCGUACGCUUGUAAAGCUCAUCUGAAAAUUUAAAGACAAUAUAAUAUAAUAUGCACAUAUUAAUUAUAAGCACAAUUGAAUAUUUAAAACCACAUUUAUUCAUACAAUGGCAUUAGCCAUUCAAUACUCAAUUCAUAAAUACACCAUUUCAUACCAUACUCUGUAACACCCCUUACCCGAGACCGUUUCCGGAGUCGAGCACGAGGCAUUACUUAGCUUAUCUUACCAAUUCGGAGCAUAAAAACUAGGUUUGAAAAUUUAUUUCAUUAUUCGCAGCAAAUCUGUCCAAUCGCGCAGCAGUUACUAAAUUAAUUAUAACUUGAGCUACAGAACUCAAAAUUUAAUUCCGUAAAUUUUCCCUGAAACUAGACUCAUAUAUCUACUCACCAUAAAAUUUUUAGAAUUUUUGGUUCAGCAAAUUAGUACAGUUUAUUAGUUAAAGUCUCCCCUGUUUCACCACCUGACUGCCCUGACCUCUAGUCACUAAAAAUAAGUUUUCUCACUGUAGGAUUUUCAUAUGAAGUUCUUACUUGUUUCUAAAGAAAAUAGACUCAUUAAGAAAUCUAAGCAUGUAAAUUUCAACUCAUAACCAUUUUUGUACAAUUUGUAAUUAUUUUCUAAACUCAGAACAGGGGACUCCAAAAACAGUUCUGACCCUAUCUUACUAAAAUUCACAUAUCUUAAAAUAUAAAUUUCCUUUUUCUACACCGUUAUUUUUCCAUGAAAAUAGACUCAACAAGCUUUAAUUCCAUAUAUCAUUCACCCUCUAAUUCAUUUUAUACUAUCUUGGGUGAUUUUUCAAAUUCACGUCACUGUGCUGCCUGAAUUCUGUUUCUUUGCAAAAUUUUAUCCUUUCAUGAUUUCCAUGCAUAAUUUAUCACCUAAUCUUUCAUAACAACAAACACCUUCAUCCUUAAUCAUUUUAAUAACCAUACAUAAUCAAAUACUUACACAUCACUCAUUAGCAAAAUCAUCAUUACAAACAUACAAAAUAACUAAAUCCCUAUACAUGCCAUAACUCAAACGUGUUUCGAUAUAAAAUACCGAGCAGUUGUAGUUGAUAGUGAGGACGAUCUCCGACUUCUUUAGGAUCCUUAAAGUAGCUUUGCAAUACUAUAAGAGAAAGAGAAAUAAAAGAAGUAAGCAUAAAGCUUAGUAAGUUUACUAGCAAAUAAAUAACAAUAUUUAACUUAAAUAAUUAAACUCAAUGUCUAUAUCUCUAGUUUACUCUUUAGUUAAUCUCAUACUAGUUCUCUUACUUGUUUACUUAGAAUACUUGUGUGCAUAACUUACUCAAUCCUUGCUGCAUCGUUGAACAUCAAUUGAUAGUAUAAUAAGUUCUUAAGUCUUACAACUUACCUGAGCUUGCCGUUUAUGCUUUAAACUGAACUUUCAUGAACAUGAUUCGUUUACAAGCCCGUUGAGCUACAUUGGAAUAAUAAGGAUACUCGGGUCUCUUCUGAUAAUAACAUGCCAAAGCCAUGUCCCAGACAUGGUCUUACAUGGGAUGUUCUCGUGAUGGUGCCCAUGCCAUGUCCCAGACAUGGUCUUAUAGGGGACCUCUCAUCUCGGUGCCAACGCCAUGUCCCAGACAUGGUCUUACAUGGGACCUCUCGUCUCGGUGCCCAUGCCAUGUCCCAGACAUGGUCUUACAGGGGACCUCUCAUGAUCUUAAGGAUACCAAUGCCAUGUCCCAGACAUGGUCUUACAUGGGAUCUCUUUACCCAAAUGUCAUGACAUUCGUAUCCAGUACCAUCCUUAUGUAUCAACGGGACUUUUAAAUUUUAAUUCUCUAUCAUUUCAUGCUUGGAUCAUCAUCAAAUAAAUUCAUAAAAUAAAUUCAUAAUUGCUGGAAAUUAACAGCAUUAAUAAUAAAUAUUGAAAUAUUGCAUUUAUUUACCGUAAACUUACCUUGGUACCAAUUAUAGCCAAAUUCACCAACUUAGUCUUCAAAUUUAUUCUUCC